RNAcentral lists this ribosomal RNA (472 nucleotides) under uncultured bacterium. RNAcentral's name for it is "partial 16S ribosomal RNA". It matches the Rfam family "Bacterial small subunit ribosomal RNA", at positions 28 to 507 of the family's 1533-position model. The record is from RNAcentral.
GAUGAACGCUGGCGGCGUGCCUAAUACAUGCAAGUCGAGCGAACGGACGAGAAGCUUGCUUCUCUGAUGUUAGCGGCGGACGGGUGAGUAACACGUGGAUAACCUACCUAUAAGACUGGGAUAACUUCGGGAAACCGGAGCUAGUACCGGAUAAUAUUUUGAACCGCAUGGUUCAAAGGUAAAAGACGGUCUUGCUGUCACUUAUAGAUGGAUCCGCGCUGCAUUAGCUAGUUGGUAAGGUAACGGCUUACCAAUGCGACGAUGCAUAGCCGACCUGAGAGGACGACAAGUGACCAGGGGACUGAGACACGGCCCAGACUACUACGGGAGGCAGCAGUGUGGAAUAUUGUAUAAUGGGCGAAAGUAUGAUACAGCAAUGACGCGGAAGUGAUGAAGGCAGGAGGGAAGCAAAGCUCUAUUACCAGGGACGAUAAUGACAGUACCGGGAGAAUAAGCGCCGGCUAACUCCGUG